Marmota monax (woodchuck) is the source of this 893-nucleotide long non-coding RNA. RefSeq lists it as uncharacterized. NCBI's taxonomy places the organism in Eukaryota, Metazoa, Chordata, Mammalia, Rodentia, Sciuridae. The record is from RefSeq and is a predicted model, not a curated record. The transcript has 2 exons.
CCGCGGCCUGGACGCCGGACUCCCGCCCGCCGUGGCCGCCGAGGGUCCGGGCCCGGCCGGCGCUGACUCGUUUUCUCCAACUUUCAGCCUGCGGCACGCCGGCCCCAGCCCCAGCCUCGCCAGCGUCCGGUCGCCGGCAGCACGGGGUCGUGGUGGUCGGGGCAGGUCCGCGGAGCCCGCCUGCUGCCCGCCCCAGCCAUGGCGGGCCGGCGGCGUGACCCUGAAGUGGGAAAGCGCAGCCAGACGCCGGAUUAGCCGCGCCGCCGCCACGGAGGCCCUGCUCCCGGAGCGCUCGGGAGUCGCGCUUCCGAUGCGAGCAGAGGGGGCUUUGGGGUUCUUUGGGGGUUCGGUUUUUUCCCUCCCUGUAAAGGCUGCAUGUCUUCCCUCAUCAGCUGUUAGGUUAAAAGUGAAGAAUCAAAUUUCGCUUGUGUUUGGUUGCCGUGUUGGCACGUGUUAAUCUCAGUGUGUUGGCUGAAGUUUAGGGUAAAGAGAAGUCUCCAGACGCUUUGAAGGAUAAUUCCUACUUUGAAAACCCAAAGCCUAAGCGUCUGGCAUAAUCUACUCCCAGUAAGUGGUAACCGUCUUGGCAUUCUUGAGCGCCAUGCAAAGCUUACGCAAACAUCUGGUUUUUCUGGCUGGAGGCUGCCCUGUCAAAUGUCUUCUUUACACAGGAUAGAAUCCCCUGUCUUGUUUGGGAGAGGGGAUGUAUUUCGUUCUAGAAAUCUCACGCCAGAAUCAGCAGUCAUAGUCACUGGAGAAACAUACAUUGGAUAUCAGCUAUGGGACAUGCUGGGAACUCAAGAGAUUCAUAAAAUUUGGGUCUUGUCUUUAGGGAUUGUAGUGGGAGGGAGUGUCAAGAUUAAUUAAAGUAAAAUACCUUAAAAUAUUUGAAA